Molecule: long non-coding RNA, 664 nt
Filed under: Homo sapiens (human)
Lineage: Eukaryota; Metazoa; Chordata; Mammalia; Primates; Hominidae
Description: HSALNT0245089
Source: RNAcentral
CCAAGCGGCAGCGCCCUCAUGGUGGAGACGUAAUGCAGGUCUGCUUGCCUCUGCAGCACACACACCACACUCUCGUGGAUGCCACGCUCUCAUGGGUGCCGCACACAGAGCGGAUAGCUGGCAAGCAGGGAGGAGGAAGGGUGGCCCAAACAUGGCAGGGUCCCCACCCCUGGGAAGGGUCACUCGAAUUUUCCCUAUCACUGCCGGCCAUGGGACGAGGGGAGGGAAGCUGGUGCUGGUGCUGAGCAACUGACCCAAGGCCCUGGAGCUCCUUGCUGGAGCUGGGAGGGAGGCAGGGGAAUGGAUCAGGUGACCUGUAGUCCUUCCAGACUCAUGACUCCAUGGCCAUGUGGCUGCAACAGGCUCCCUUCUCUACUCCAGUGAAUCCGAGUUGCUGUUCUGUCCCUUGCCACAGAAACCUGACGGACACAACAGCAUACGGAAUAACCGGUGGCCCUUGAGGGGGCUGGGAGAGCAGCCAUCGGUGACGUUAUCAGAAGGGAUUCCCGCUUUGGCAGGCGCUGGACUGGAUUAAUGACUUCAAUAAGCACAUAUUAGGCCCCUUCUGUGUGCUAGCUACAGGGGAUGCAGAGAUGCAAGCCAAUGGUAAAACAGUCUUUAACGUAUGCAAAGUAGGUUAACUGGAGGGUAGGAGUGCGGGGUA